UGUUAAUCACACUGUUUUAAUAUGAGUACAGUUCAAAAAAUUAGAGUACAAAAUAUCUCACAGGAUCCAAGGGUAGUUGUCGUCUUCACACCAAGUCCAGUCUCCAACGUGCUCAGCAAUAAAAGAGGCAAUCAAAUCCGCGGCGGUGUUCACCUCUCAAAAUACAUGCCGGACAGACUACACAGUAGCGUGACAAAAGUACCUCCAGAUAUGGUGGAGUGGUGGAUGGAUUUUCAGCUCAUGUCUCGCGUAGAUGAUGCCUGCCCAAACAGCAUGAAACUCUACCCCAGUGAUAGAUGGAUCGAAGAUAUGAGAUUCCCCCAGCAGCAAAAAGUCUGGCAUCCUGAUCCUAAACAACACAGCCCAUACUAUCUCUGCCAUCUCUGACACUGUCGUUAAAGUGAGAUCCCCCGACACAAUUUCUUUAAUCAGCAGAUUGCAUGCCUAUGCCUAUCGUUAUUUAAUUGGGCGAAUAGGAUGAGUUUUAUUUAUCUCUAGAGGUGGUAUUUUCAGUUCACGACUCUCAUUUUAGGGUGUUGGUAGACUUCAAAUCGUUCUAGCCGGUCGGAGGUGCCGGUGAAGUCAUCCAUCUUUUAUUCGUGCCUCCGAAUCUGAUGCAGGAUUUCUUUUACCGGAUGCACAAGUGAGCCCCGAAACAAUUGAAGAAUCCCUAGCUUUCUUGUGGUUAUGCUGGAAAAAAAAAAUUAAAUACAAGAGAUCUACUAAAGGAAAAGAAGGAAAUAUUUUGGAGGUUGUACUCUUUAUGAUCAUGGUGAGGAAUCUGUGGAUCACAUUUUCUCUACCAUCUGUAACGCCAUUUGCUCGUUGCUCGGCGUUUCACAUCCUCAAACCUCAUUUAAAGAUCUGGGUGUCGCGUGGAGAAAGAGAUUUUUUUCUUUUUUUUUGAGGUGAGGAGAAAGAGAAAUUUUGCUAAAACAGCUCAGCCUAUUGUUCUCCUUCUCCUUGCCGCUAUAGCAUGGGCAUGCUGGAACAGAAGGAAUGCUAGAGGGUUUCUUUAACAAGCAAAAUUCAAUUGCUUCCACAGCUUUGAAAGGCUAAGUUUUUGCAACCAUUGGUCCUCUCUUUGCGGUCAAAAGCUUCUUCCAGAAUUUAGUGAAAUAUGGACAAAAAUCGGACUCUCUCAUCCUUCCUCCAAGACGAUUAGCUGUUGAACACUUGACCAAGUUUUUUGAAAUGUUGCUGAAGUUGAAAAGUUUCAGUCCUUCCUCAGUUCUUUCUGGUUUGAACUCUGUUUUAUGGAUGGUGGUUAUUUUCCUUUUCCUGUUUAUCGACCGAGACCUUGUAACUAGCCAACUUGAACUGCUCCCCAAGGGAGACAUCAAUAUCUGUCUGUAUAUGCUCCUUUUCUCCCAAGUUUCCCGUGCAU
This is a non-coding RNA of Elaeis guineensis (African oil palm), 1387 nucleotides long. NCBI's taxonomy places the organism in Eukaryota, Viridiplantae, Streptophyta, Magnoliopsida, Arecales, Arecaceae. The record is from RefSeq and is a predicted model, not a curated record.